Non-coding RNA from Symphalangus syndactylus (siamang), 433 nucleotides. NCBI's taxonomy places the organism in Eukaryota, Metazoa, Chordata, Mammalia, Primates, Hylobatidae. The record is from the annotation of a RefSeq genome assembly.
CACAGAGGACUCACCAUGGAGUUGGGGCUGAGCUGGGUUUUCCUUGUUGCUAUUUUAGAAGGUGUCCAGUGUGACGUGCAGCUGGUGGAGUCUGGGGGAGGCUUGGUACAGCCUGGGGGGUCCCUGAGACUCUCCUGUGCAGCCUCUGGAUUCACCUUCAGUAACUAUGGCAUGAGCUGGGUCCGCCAGGCUCCAGGGAAGGGGCUGGAGUGGGUCUCAUCCAUUAGUAGUAGUAGUAGUUACAUAUACUACGCAGACUCCGUGAAGGGCCGAUUCACCAUCUCCAGAGACAACGCCAAGAACUCGCUGUAUCUGCAAAUGAACAGCCUGAAAACCGAGGACACGGCCGUGUAUUACUGAUGGACAUUCUGCCAUUGUGAUUACUACGGUAUGGGAUUCUGGGGCCAAGGGACCACGGUCACCGUCUCCUCAG